ACAAAACAAAACAAAAACCUGGGCACUGGCCGUCUAUGGGCUAGCGAAGCACCGCCUCCUCCCUGCAGCCCGGAACUCCGACUCCCGGCGGAAAGCUCCGGCCGGACCUGCGCUCCGAGGCGGGACGGACAGGGGUGUGGGACAACAUUUACCCAGAAGACCUGCGGCGCGAAGAGGCACGGAGCCAAUGGGAACCCCGCAAAGGGACGUCGACGGGCGCGUGCUACGCGUGAGGGCGGGACUUCCUGCCGGGGCGACGCUGCUGUGUUCAUUGGCUUAAGGAUCCCGGAGCGUCGGGUCACGAAGCGGGAGGACGGGGUUGUGCCAGCUGCCCAGAGACGGCAGCCACAGAGCCGGGCUUGGGCCUCCUUGGCCCGACCCCCGUCGCGCCCGCUCCCGGCUCGGUGGGCGGAGGCCGCGCCCAUGAGUCCGACUCAGAAUGGAGUUGGGAGCAGCUUUCAGAGUGGUCCUGAUACCGCCGUUUCCCGGUGUCGGGUUCUGCUCCUUCUAAUGUUGAAGAUUGAACACUAGAGAAGCACGCCAAGGCAAGCAUACUAAGCAGGUUUUAUUUAAAGAUGCGCUCUUUAGUGAGGAAGGUGAGUGCUCAGACUUGGAAGGUACACUAUGGGGGAUGUAGGAGGAUAUCCUUGACCUCCCUUCAAAAAGAGCAGAUCUGAGGUUGUUGGCAUGGAGCUGUAGUUGAGGAACUUCCUUCUGAGCAAGGUGUGUCUGGGAACAUCCACUCAGAAGUCCUAUGAAACACACAGCUCACUUUUGGAAGACAUUCUUCAUCUGACUGAGCACAGUGGAACACCUCCUGAGCAUGAGCUGCACAAGUGUUGGCAGGGCUUUACCAGCACCCACAAUAGCUGCUUAGAGCAGAUCACUCCAGAAGCAAGCAGAGGCCUUUAUUUCUGAAGAGCCGUGGAGUUCACAUAGUGGAGAGGACCUUAACAUGCAGGGAGGACGGGAAGGACUUCAGUGCCAACUCAUAUCUUUUUCAGCAAAGCCCCUCGCAGUGGUUGGAAACCACCUGAGGACAUCCAGGACAAGGAAGACUUUAAAGUGGACAAAAUGAUUAUGUCUGCAGAUUAUGUGGGAGAGACUUUUGCCACCAACAUAUGCUGUAUGAGCACCAAAAAAUCCACACUAGGGAAAGGCCUUAUGAAUGUAGUGAAUGUGGGGAUCAUAUUUAAGUACAACUCCCACCUUAUUAAGCAUCAGCAAAAUCACACUGGAGAAAAGCCAUACAAAUGUAGUGAAUGUGGGAAAGCCUUCAGUCUCAAAUACGAUGUUGUUGUACACCAGAAAAUUCACACUAGAGAAAGGCCCUAUGAAUGCACUGAAUGUGGGAAACCCUUCAUUAGAAAGCCCCACCUUAUUCAGCACCAGAAAAUCCACAUUGAAAGAUUCUUUAUGAAAAGCUCUGAUCUCAUGGAGCACCAGAGAAUUUCCAGGCCAAGGUCUUUUGAAUGUACUCAGUGUGGGAAAGCUUUCAUUACACAGUCCUUCCUUAUUAGUCACCAGAAAAAUCUGUACUGGAGAAAGGCCUUACGAGUGCAGUCAAUGCAGGAAAUUCUUUGUGUUACAUGCUAAACUUAUCAGACAUCAGAAAGUUCACACUGGAGAACAACCUUACUGUUGUGAAUGUGUGAAAUUCUUUAUGUACAGCUCCAGAUUUAGUAUUUGUCAGAGAAUACACAGUGGAGAAAGACUUUAUGAAUGCAGCCAGUGUGAAAAAUUGUUUAGAUACCGCUCCACCCUGAUUAGACAUCAGAAAGUUCAUACUGGAGAAAGGCCUUCUUUUUAGACAGCUCCACAUUUCUUAUUCAUCAGAGUUCACACUGGUGAAAAACCUUACAAGUGCAGCAAGUGUGGGAAAUUCUUUAGCUAUCACUCCAUACGUGAUACACAUCAGAGAGUUCACAGUGGGGAAAGGCCUUAUGAGUGUAGUGAAUGUGGGAAAUUCUUUUACCACAACUCAAAUCAAAUUAGACACUGGAGAAAUCACAUUGGAGAAAAGCCUUAUGACUGCAACAAAUUUGGGAAAGGUUUUAGCCAAAAUUCCCACCUCAUUCAGCACCCAAAAGUUCACACUAAAGAAAAAUAUGAGUGCAAUGUGGCAAAAUCUUUAUGAACAGUUCAACACCCAUUAGUUUUCAGGGAGUUUACCCUGGAGAAAAACCUUAUGAGUGCUAUGAAUAUGGGAAAGUCUUUAGAUACAAUUUGAGCCUCAUUAAACAUAGGAGAAUUCACAUGGGAGGAAGGCCUUAGGGCAGUAUGUGGGAAGGACUUUGACCAAAACUCUCACCUCAUUCAGCACCAAAAGUUCACACCAGAUAAACUUAAAAGUAAAUGUGGAAAGACUUCAGACAAAUAUGCUCUGAUUUACCAUUGAGAACUAGUUUUUUUUUUUUAUUUCUAAAAUGCCAAUAACAAAAUGUAUCAUCAUUACAAUGUUAAAGUGUACAGCUCAGUAAUUGUUCACAUUGUGCAAUGAAUAUCCAGAAGUCUUUUCGCCAUACAAGAUGAAAACUCUAUAUCCUUUUAACCACUCAUUUUCCAUUACACCCAACCUCUAACAACCACCUCUCUGAACUUCAUUAGUACUCUCUAUAAGGAAAUUGUUUUUCUAUUAUUUUGUGUCUUAUGUUUUCAGAAUGAUUCAAAUUUUCUUUUUUAAGGCUGAAUAAAAUCCCAUUAUAGGUAUAUAACACUU
Molecule: long non-coding RNA, 2719 nt
Organism: Sciurus carolinensis (gray squirrel)
Lineage: Eukaryota; Metazoa; Chordata; Mammalia; Rodentia; Sciuridae
Exons: 4
Source: RefSeq, a predicted model, not a curated record